GAGAACUCUGAAAUGAAAUAUAUUCUAGAACCAUGGUUUCUAAGGCACAAAAACCCAACUAUUUAAGUUAAAGUCUAAAGACUGACAAAAAUACAUUUCAAGUAAAUUGAAGAUAUUUUGUUAAUAUUAAGAACUGACCUCUCUUGAGUGUUUAAAUGCCUCCUCACAACGAAACUAUCAGAUGCCCUCACGUAAACAAGACAAGAGACCCAAACACACACUUUGAAAUGGCCAAGGAACACUAUUGCUCCAUCAUCACGGGCCUUGUGAUUGGUAUACAUUCCUCGUGCCUAAAUUCCAGAAUGCCUCUCCUGAUCAAUGGUGUCUUAUAAUUGCUACUGGCCAAGAGACAGACAAGAUGCAGCAGAGGUGACCUGCACAUAUGCCAACCUGUUGCAUAGUUCUGAUGGCACAAAUGGACAACAGGAAUUCAUCAACUUUUCAUUCGGCAAAUCACUUAAGGACCAUUUCGGGAAGUAAUAUAAUCCUGGUUGUUUUCUGAAACCUUUGUUGAUACCUUCUGAAAAGGUGAGAAAGGACCUGCCUUAAAACUUGGUAAUGAAAGAGUAAUGGAGUCACUAACCUGGAAGUCCUUGAAAAAACUGUUUAAAGAAUUAGCAAAUAACUGACACUUCUGGUGGCACAGAGGACAGUUGUGUUUGGAAAAAUAGUACAAAUAUAUACAACUCUAGAGUGAAAUGAAUUUCAGAAGAUUGGAUUCCAAAUGAGAAGUUGGGGAGUAUCUUAAUCUACGUAUCUCUCCUAUAUCUUCUCUUUGUAUUAUGCAUAAUUGACAUGUGACAAAAUCUGUGUCCAUUAAAUAUUUUUAACAACUGAUAAUUAAAAUAGUUGAU
Long non-coding RNA from Talpa occidentalis (Iberian mole), 854 nucleotides. RefSeq lists it as uncharacterized. The record is from RefSeq and is a predicted model, not a curated record. NCBI's taxonomy places the organism in Eukaryota, Metazoa, Chordata, Mammalia, Eulipotyphla, Talpidae. The transcript is spliced from 4 exons.